GACAGAGGGUGCGAACGUUGUUCGGAAUUACUGGGCGUAAAGCGCGUGUAGGCGGCAGCGCAAGUCGGGCGUGAAAUCCCACGGCUCAACCGUGGAAGUGCACUCGAAACUGCGCAGCUAGAGUCCUGGAGAGGAAGGUGGAAUGCUUGGUGUAGAGGUGAAAUUCGUAGAUAUUCGCAGGAACACCAGUGGCGAAGGCGGCUUACUGGUCCAUUACUGACGCUGAGGUGCGAAAGCGUGGGGAGCAAACAGG
This 253-nucleotide ribosomal RNA is filed under the name uncultured bacterium. RNAcentral describes it as "partial 16S ribosomal RNA". It matches the Rfam family "Bacterial small subunit ribosomal RNA", at positions 524 to 776 of the family's 1533-position model. The record is from RNAcentral.